RNAcentral lists this ribosomal RNA (497 nucleotides) under uncultured bacterium. Its description in RNAcentral is "partial 16S ribosomal RNA". It matches the Rfam family "Bacterial small subunit ribosomal RNA", at positions 28 to 507 of the family's 1533-position model. The record is from RNAcentral.
GAUGAACGCUGGCGGCGUGCCUAAUACAUGCAAGUCGAGCGAACAGACGAGGAGCUUGCUCCUCUGACGUUAGCGGCGGACGGGUGAGUAACACUUGGAUAACCUACCUAUAAGACUGGGAUAACUUCGGGAAACCGGAGCUAAUACCGGAUAAUAUAUUGAACCGCAUGGUUCAAUAUUGAAAGACGGUUUUGCUGUCACUUAUAGAUGGAUCCGCGCCGCAUUAGCUAGUUGGUAAGGUAACGGCUUACCAAGGCAACGAUGCGUAGCCGACCUGAGAGGGUGAUCGGCCACACUGGAACUGAGACACGGUCCAGACUCCUACGGGAGGCAGCAGUAGGGAAUCUUCCGCAAUGGGCGAAAGCCUGACGGAGCAACGCCGCGUGAGUGAUGAAGGUCUUCGGAUCGUAAAACUCUGUUAUUAGGGAAGAACAAAUGUGUAAGUAACUAUGCACGUCUUGACGGUACCUAAUCAGAAAGCCACGGCUAACUACGUG